UUGGAGGGCAAGUCUGGUGCCAGCAGCCGCGGUAAUUCCAGCUCCAAUAGCGUAUAUUAAAGUUGUUGCAGUUAAAAAGCUCGUAGUUGAAUUUCGAGAUCAAAUUGUUGGUCGUGCCUUGGUACGUACUGACAUUAUUGAUUUCUCCCUUCUGAAGAACCAUGAUGUCAUUAAUUUGGUGUCUUGGGGAAUCAGGACUGUUACUUUGAAAAAAUUAAAGUGUUUAAAGCAAGCUCGCGCUUGAAUACAUUAGCAUGGAAUAAUGAAAUAGGACGUUUAAUUCUAUUUUGUUGGUUUCUAGGAUUGACGUAAUGAUUAAUAGGGAUAGUUGGGGGCAUUAGUAUUCAAUUGUCAGAGGUGAAAUUCUUGGAUUUAUUGAAGACUAACUACUGCGAAAGCAUUUGCCAAGGAUGUUUUCAUUAAUCAAGAACGAAAGUUAGGGGAUCGAAGACGAUCAGAUACCGUCGUAGUCUUAACCAUAAACUAUGCCGACUAGGGAUCGGAUGAUGUUAAUUUUUUAAUGACUCAUUCGGCACCUUACGGGAAACCAAAGUGUUUGGGUUC
Molecule: ribosomal RNA, 564 nt
Filed under: uncultured Glomeromycotina
Lineage: Eukaryota; Fungi; Glomeromycota
Description: SSU rRNA
Rfam family: Eukaryotic small subunit ribosomal RNA
Source: RNAcentral